UUCGCAACCUUCUUCUAACCGUUCGUUUCUCCUGUUCAGCUGUUCUCUCUCCCUGUAGAGAUCAAAAUCGAUAUUAGGGUUUCUCCAACCCUCAAAAAAAUUUCGAAAUCUACACUCAUAACUCACCUGCAUCUUCAAUGCCGAUCACUCCACCUCGAUCAUCUCCAACCUGUUAAAAAAUUCGCUUCUAACCUGAUCACUCGCCAUGUUCGAAGCUCACGUUUUGCAUUUGCUUCGAAGAUACCUGGGCGAAUAUGUCCACGGGCUGUCAGUGGAGGCUUUAAGAAUAAGUGUCUGGAAAGGCGAUGUUGUCCUCAAAGAUUUGAAUUUGAAGGCUGACGCACUAAAUUCACUAAAACUUCCAGUCACUGUCAAAGCUGGUUUUGUUGGUACUAUUACAUUAAAGGUUCCCUGGAAAAGUUUAGGAAAAGAACCUGUGGUUGUUCUUGUCGAUCGCGUUUUCAUUCUUGCUCAUCCUGCCCCUGAUAGCCGGACUCUCAAGGAGGACGACCGGAGAAAACUUUUUGAAACCAAACUUCAACAAAUUGAGGAAGCAGAAUCUGCAACUCUUGAAGCAACUAGAUCAAAGCUGGGAAGUCCUCCUCCAGGAAAUUCAUGGCUGGGCUCUCUGAUUGCCACUAUUAUUGGAAAUCUUAAAAUUUCAAUUAGCAAUGUGCAUAUCAGAUACGAGGAUUCAGUCAGUCAUCCUGGGCAUCCAUUUUCUUGUGGUGUUACCCUAGCGAAGCUGGCAGCUGUCACAACAGAUGAGCAGGGUAUUGAAACAUUUGAUAUCAGUGGUGCUUUGGAUCGAUUACGGAAGUCAUUACAACUUGAGAGGCUUGCUGUGUAUCAUGAUUCUGAUAACCUCCCUUGGAAGAAAGACAAAAAGUGGGAAGAUUUAAGUCCUGAGGAAUGGGUUGAGAUAUUUGAAGAUGGUGUAAAUGAACCCUCUACUGGUCAUGGUAUGGUGUCUAAAUGGGCUAUGAAUCGUAACUACUUGGUGUCACCAAUCAAUGGAGCCCUUAAAUAUCAUCGUCUUGGAAAACAAGAAAGAAGUGAUCCAGAGAUUCCAUUUGAGAAGGCUUCUCUUGUCCUAAGUGAUGUCUCAUUAACAAUUACAGAGGUGCAAUAUCAUGAUUGGAUAAAACUUUUGGAAGCUGUUUCAAGAUACAAGACAUAUGUUGAAAUUUCCCAUUUAAGACCUAAGAUACCUGUCUCUGACAAUCCUUGUCUGUGGUGGCGAUAUGCUGCUCAAGCUGUUCUGCAGCAGCGAAAAAUGUGCUACCGAUUCUCAUGGGACCGCAUUCAGCAUCUCUGUCAGCUUCGUCGCCAUUAUGUUCAAUUGUAUGCUGCCAUGCUGCAACAAUCAUCAAAUGCUAGCACCUCGGAACUUAGAGAAAUGGAGAAAGAUCUUGAUUCUAAAGUUAUUCUCUUGUGGAGGUUACUUGCACAUGCCAAGGCUGAAUCAUUGAAAACAAAGGAAGCUGCUGAGCAGAGGAGGCUAAAAAAGAAAGGCUGGUUUUCAUUUGGAUGGCGUACGAAUUCUGAAGAUGCCUCUGAUGGGGAUGCUUCUGAAGCAUCCCAGUUAAGAGAAGAAAAGCUGACUCAAGAGGAAUGGCUUGCAAUUAAUAAAUUGCUUAGUUACCAGUCAGACGAAGAGUUAAUGCCACAUUCAGGAAAGGACAUGCAGAAUAUGAUUCGGUAUUUAGUGACUGUGUCUGUUAAGCAGGCUGCUGCCAGGAUAAUUGACAUAAAUCAGACUGAGAUUGUCUGUGGUAGAUUUGAGCAGCUUCAAGUCUCAACCAAAUUGAAAAAUCGCUCUACCCACUGUGACGUGUCCCUAAAAUUAUAUGGUUUAUCUGCACCAGAAGGUUCACUUGCACAGAGCGUUUCCAGUGAACAGAAGGUGAAUGCAUUAUCUGCCAGUUUUGUACAUUCCCCAGUGGGGGAGAAUGUUGACUGGAGGUUGUCAGCCACAAUUUCGCCUUGCCAUGUUACGGUUUUAAUGGAAAGUUUUGAUCGCUUUUUUGAGUUUGUGAGGAGAAGUAAUGCAGUUAGCCCUACUGUUGCAUUAGAAACUGCAAAUGCUUUGCAGAUGAAGAUUGAGAAAGUGACUCGAAGAGCGCAAGAGCAAUUUCAAAUGGUAUUAGAGGAACAAAGCAGAUUUGCCCUUGACAUUGAUCUGGAUGCUCCAAAAGUUACAGUUCCUAUGAGGACAGUCAGUUCUUCCAACUGUGAUAUGCAUUUUCUUUUGGAUUUUGGUCACUUCACAUUACACACUAUGGAAACAGAGUCUGAUGAAAAGAGGCAGAGUAUAUAUUCUCGUUUCUACAUAUCUGGCAGAGAUAUAGCUGCUUUCUUUACGGACUGUGAUUCUCACUGCUACAACUCCACAGUGGUUGUGCCAAAUCAUAAUAGCCAGUCACUGACAUCCCAGAUACCAGAAAAAGUUGACAAUUACUUUUCUCUUAUUGAUAGGUGUGGAAUGGCUGUAAUUGUUGACCAGAUCAAAGCACACCACCCUAGUUAUCCUUCAACGCGGAUUUCUGUUCAAGUACCAAAUCUUGGCAUUCACUUUUCACCAGCAAGAUACUCUAGACUUAUGGAAUUGGUGAACAUACUGUACAAUACAGUUGACAACUAUGGUCAGUCUACCGUCGAUAAUUUUCAAACCCAGAUUGCUCCUUGGAGUUCUGCUGAUCUUGCUACCGAUUCUAGAAUCCUUGUUUGGAGGGGGAUUGGCAAUUCUGUGGCUCAUUGGCAACCCUGUUUUCUUGUGUUAUCUGGACUAUAUCUUUAUGUUAUGGAAUCCCAGAAGUCCCAAAGCUACCAGCGAUACUUGAGCAUGGCUGGUAGACAGAUAAAUGAGGUUCCUCCAUCAAGUGUUGGUGGUUCCCAAUUCUGUGUUGCUGUGAGUUUCAGGGGAAUGGACAUUCAGCAAGCGUUGGAAUCUUCUAGUACCUGGAUUUUAGAGUUUCAGGAUGAUGAGGAGAAAACCUGUUGGUUAAAAGGACUUAUACAGGCUACCUAUCUAGCUUCUGCUCCUCCAUCAAUGGAUGUGCUUGGAGAAACAAGUGGCAUUGCAUCCAACUUUGGAGAACCUGAAACACCAAUUCUGAGAACAGCAGACCUUGUCAUCAAUGGGGCACUGGUGGAGGCAAAGUUAUUCAUAUAUGGAAAGAAUGGGGAUGAAGUUGAUGGGGAACUUGGAGAGACUCUUAUUAUCGAGGUUCGUGCUGGCGGGGGAAAGGUGCACAUGAUUCGUGCAGAGGGUGAUCUUAGAGUAAAGAUGAAGCUGCAUUCCCUAAAAAUUAAAGAUGAGCUUAAGAGCCGCCAAUCUGCAAAUCCACGGUAUUUAGCCUGCUCGGUGCUAAAGAAUGACAAGUUUCUUGUAUCCUCUCACAAUGUUGAACCUCUAGGGAUGGGGAUGCCCGUAGUAUCUCAUGAUGAAGAGGAUACUUUUAAGGACGCUUUGCCAGAUUUUUUGUCUCUAGCAGAUGGUGGCAUUUGGUCACCAAAAAUGGACGUCUCUCAUUUUGGAAUUAUGGGAGAUGCCAAUGACUCUUCAGAAUUUGAGUCUCCUGAAUCCUUUACUCUUGAGCAAGAUCUGUUACAAGGAAAAACAAUUCCUGAUGAGAUAUUUUAUGAGGCACACGGCAGUGAUAGUUCUGAUUUUGUGUCUGUUACUUUCUCGAUGCAAAGUUCUUCUUCACCUGAUUAUGAUGGUAUAGAUACACAGAUGAGCAUUCGCAUGUCCAAACUAGAAUUCUUCUGCAAUAGACCUACUCUUGUUGCUCUAAUAGGUUUUGGCUUUGACCUCAGCUAUGUGGAUUCAUCUGAAAGUGGUACUAACAUGACUGAAAUCUCAGAUGAUAAGUCUUCCUUGAAAGAAAUGACUGAAGUCACAGGGCGUAUAAAAGGGCUGCUGGGGUAUGGUAAAAAUCGUGUGGUUUUCUAUUUAAACAUGAAUGUUGACAGUGUCACUGUGUUUCUCAACAAGGAGGAUGAUUCUCAACUCGCUAUGCUUGUGCAAGAAAGUUUUGUUCUGGAUCUCAGGGUCCAUCCUAGCUCUCUUUCUAUUGAAGGCAUGUUAGGAAAUUUCAGGCUCUGUGAUAUGUCACCAGAAACUAAUCAAUGCUGGAGUUGGGUUUGUGACUUACGUAAUCCGGGACUUGAUUCCCUUAUCAAGUUCAAUUUUAGCUCGUACAGUGCUGAAGAUGAUGAUUAUGAAGGAUAUGAUUACAAGUUGAGUGGCCGACUUUCUGCUGCAUGCAUUAUUUUCCUCUAUAGGUUUGUCCAGGAGAUAACUGCAUACUUUAUGGAACUUGCGACCCCAAACACUGAAGAAGCAAUAAAACUUGUCGAUAAAGUAGGGGGAUUUGAGUGGCUAAUCCAGAAGUAUGAGAUUGAUGGAGCCACCGCAUUAAAGUUGGACCUCUCACUUGACACUCCGAUUAUCAUCGUUCCUAGGAAUUCCAUGAGCAAAGAGUUCAUUCAACUUGAUCUGGGCCAGCUACAGGUGACAAAUGAAUUAAGUUGGCAUGGAUCUGCAGAGAAAGAUCCUUCAGCUGUCCACAUUGAUGUUCUUCAUGCCGAGAUUCAGGGAAUCAACAUGUCUGUAGGAGUUGACGGUUGUUUAGGCAAGCCUAUGAUACAAGAAGGCCAAGGAUUGGAUAUUUAUGUGCGCCGUAGUUUGCGGGAUGUCUUUAGAAAAGUCCCAACAUUCUCUCUUGAAGUUAAGGUGGAUUUCCUUCGUGGAGUCAUAUCUGAUAAAGAAUACAGCAUAAUUGUUGAUUGCAUGUGCUUGAAUUUACUUGAAGAGCCAAGGAUUCCACCAAGUUUUCGUGGCUGCAAAUCUGAUACGAAAGAUGCAAUUCGGCUGCUGGUAGAUAAGGUCAACACAAAUAGUCAAGUCCUCUCACAAACUGUCACUAUAGUGGCAGUUGAGGUUAAUUAUGCACUGUUGGAGUUGUGUAAUGGUGUUCAUGAGUCACCUUUAGCACGUCUUGAGCUAGAAGGUCUUUGGGUAUCAUACAGGAUGACUUCGUUGCCUGAAACAGAUCUUUAUGUAACUAUUUCAAAAUUUUCUAUCUUGGACAUUCAGCCAGAUACAAAACCUGAAAUGCGUCUGAUGCUUGGAUCAUCAACUGAUGCUUCCAAACAAGUUUCUGGUGGAAACAUCCCAUACUCUCUAAAUAGAAGUGGCUUUAGGAGAAUGAACUCUGAAUAUGCCCUCGAGGCUGAUGCACCAAAUUCAACAAUGUUUCUAAUGGACUAUAGAUGGAGGCCUUCCUCCCAAUCAUUUGUAGUUCGCGUUCAGCAGCCACGUGUACUUGUUGUACCAGAUUUCCUUCUAGCCGUGGGUGAGUAUUUUGUGCCAUCAUUGGGAACUAUAACUGGAAGGGAGGAAUUGAUUGAUCCUAAGAAGGAUCCCAUUAGCAGAAGCAAUAGCAUAGUGCUUUCUGAAUCUGUUUACAAACAGAGUGAGGAUGUGGUUCACUUGUCUCCAAGUAGACAACUAGUAGCAGAUGCCAAGACAGUUGAUGAAUAUACAUAUGAUGGUUGUGGAAAGAUUAUCUGUUUAAGUGAAGAAACAGACACAAAGGAAUUCCAUUCAGGGAGAUCUCGACCAAUUAUAGUUAUUGGACGUGGUAAGAGGUUGCGGUUUGUCAAUGUUAAAAUUGAGAAUGGUUCCCUUUUGAGGAAAUAUGCAUACUUGAGUAAUGAUAGCAGCUAUUCGAUCUCCAUUGAAGAUGGUGUUGACAUUUCGUUGCUAGACAAUUCUUCAUCUGAUGACGACAAGAAGAUUUUGGAUUACAUGCAUGAACAAUCAGAUGUCUUAAACUCUUCUGAUUCUGAAAACGAUUCAAAUAGGCUGCAGAGUUUCACUUUUGAAUCCCAGGUUGUUUUUCCAGAGUUCACUUUCUAUGAUGGUACAAAAUCUUCACUGGAUGAUUCUUCAUAUGGUGAAAAGCUCCUAAGAGCAAAAAUGGAUUUGAGCUUCAUGUAUGCAUCCAAAGAAAAUGAUAUCUGGAUUAGAGCCCUCGUGAAAGAUCUGACUGUUGAGGCUGGUUCUGGUCUCAUGAUUCUUGAUCCAGUGGAUAUUUCAGGAGGAUAUACCUCUGUUAAAGAGAAAACGAACAUGUCUCUGAUAUCAACGGAUAUAUGUGUGCAUCUUUCAUUGAGUGUCAUUUCUCUUCUGCUUAACUUGCUGAAUCAAGCUACUACAGCAUUGCAAUUUGGAAAUGCGAUUCCCCUGGCACCUUGCUCCAACUUUGACCGAGUUUGGGUCUCCCCUAGAGAAAAUGGCCCUUAUAAUCACCUUACUUUUUGGAGGCCUCACCCUCCAUCAAAUUAUGUUAUAUUGGGAGAUUGUGUGACAUCAAGGCCAAUUCCUCCUUCACAGGCAGUCAUGGCUGUGAGUAAUGCAUAUGGCCGUGUGCAAAAACCUGUUGGGUUCAAUUUCGUUUCCUUAUUACCUGGUAUUCAAGGGUUUGGAGGUGAAAGCCAUUCUGGUUUUGAUUGUGAUUGUUCUCUAUGGGUGCCUGUUGCACCUCCUGGUUACACAGCAUUGGGAUGUGUAGCACAUGUAGGAUGCGAACCGCCACCGACUCACAUUGUUUAUUGCCUACGAACCGACCUUGUAGCAUCUUCAACAUAUUCAGAAUGCAUUUUUAGUUCUGCACCAAAUCCUCAGUCUGCAUCUGGUUUGAGCAUAUGGCGUCUAGACAAUGUCAUUGCAUCUUUUUAUGCCCAUUCUUCUACUGAAUACCCUCCUAGAGAUAGUGGUGGUGACCUGAAUCAUCUUCUUCUAUGGAACUCAAUCCGAAAUCAAUCGUUAUCUAGAGAUGCGGUAUCAGAUUCGGCCGAUGAACAUGACCAUGGAAGUCAAACAAGUAACAAUAGUGCUAAUUCAUCUGGAUGGGACAUUAUUAGAUCAAUUUCAAAAGCAACUAACUCGUAUGUGUCAACUCCAAACUUUGAGAGAAUAUGGUGGGACAAAGGUAGUGAGAUCCGUCGACCUGUCUCAAUAUGGCGACCUAUUGCAUGUCCAGGUUAUGCCAUACUAGGAGAUUGCAUAACUGAAGGCUCAGAACCUCCUGCCCUGGGCAUAAUAUUCAAGAUUGGCGAUCCUGAAAUCUCCUCAAAGCCUGUCCAGUUCACUAAAGUGGCCAAUAUUGUUGGGAAAGGAUUUGAUGAAGUCUUCUUCUGGUAUCCAAUUGCUCCUCCUGGUUAUGCUUCACUAGGAUGUGUUGUCACCAGAACAGAUGAAGCACCACUCUUGAAUUCAUUUUGUUGCCCGAGGUUGGAUAUUGUGAACCAAGCUAAUAUUAUUGAGGUGCCUAUUUCAAGAUCUCCAAGCACAAAAGCAUCUCAGUGCUGGAGCAUUUGGAAAAUCGAAAAUCAGGCAUGCACUUUUCUUGCCCGUAUGGAUCUUAAAAAGCCAUCGAGCCGGUUGGCAUUCACAAUCGCUGAUUCUGUGAAGCCAAAAUCACGGGAAAAUGUAACUGCUGAUAUCAAGCUAGUAUGCUUCUCCAUUACCGUUUUAGACAGCCUAUGUGGAAUGAUGACACCUCUAUUUGAUGUUACCAUAACCAAUAUCAAGCUUGCAACACAUGGUCGUCUAGAGGCAAUGAAUGCUGUUCUAAUUUCCUCUAUUGCUGCUUCGACCUUCAAUGCUCAGUUAGAAGCAUGGGAGCCACUGGUGGAGCCAUUUGAUGGAAUAUUCAAGUUGGAAACAUAUGAUAACAAUGUACAUCCACCAUCAAGAAUUGCAAAGAAAGUACGGGUCGCUGCAACCAGUAUCAUGAACAUAAAUGUCAGUGCAGCAAAUCUUGAAACUUUUAUAGGGACCAUGCUCUCUUGGAGAAAACAGUUAGAACUUGAUCAGAAAGCAGUGAAGCUAAUUGAGGAAGCUGGUUGUCAUCUUAAACAUGAAGAGGACCCAACUUUUUCUGCCUUGGAUGAAGAUGAUUUUCAGACUGUAAUAAUCGAAAAUAAACUAGGGUGUGAUCUGUAUCUGAAACAAAUUGAGGACAAUACAGAUACAGUCAGUCAACUACACAAUGAUGACUGUACUUUUGUGUGGAUCCCACCUCCAACAUUUUCAGACAAUCUAAAGGUUGUGGAUAGAUCUAGGGAAGCACGCUGCUAUGUUGCCAUUCAAAUACUUGAAGCCAAGGGUUUGCCCAUUGUUGAUGAUGGUAACAGUCACAAAUUCUUCUGUGCUGUGCGCCUUGUUGUUGAUAGUCGGGCAACAGACCAGCAGAAGCUCUUUCCUCAGAGUGUGAGGACAAAAUGUGUGAAGCCUUUGCUUCCAAGAGAACAUGAAAUCACUAGUGCCACUGCAAAGUGGAAUGAACUUUUCAUAUUCGAAAUUCCUCGAAAGAUGACUAACAGCCACCAGUUUGGGAAUGGUGCAGAAAAUAGUCAUUUUCAGGGAGUGGCUAAGUUAGAAGUGGAGGUGACAAAUCUUGCAGCAAAAGCUGGAAAGGGUGAAGUUGUAGGUGCCCUCUCCCUUCCUGUUGGACAAGGAGCAGUCAUGUUGAAGAAGGUGGCUUCUGCAAGAAUGCUAAAUCAACCACAUGAUUUUCAGAAUGUUAUGUCAUGCCCAUUAAGAAGAAGGGCUCCACAUGAUGAUGUUGAACAAAUGCUUGAAAGUGGUCAUCUGUUAGUUUCUACUACGUAUUUUGAGAGGAAUCUGGCAGCAAACUUUCAGAGAGAUAAAGAAACUGAGCUAUCUCGUAAUAGAGAUGUCGGUUUUUGGAUCAGGCUUAGCCCGGAAGGUGCAUGGGAGAGUGUUCGGUCGUUACUUCCACUGUCUGUGGUACCCAAAUUACUACAUGAUGAAUUUCUUGCCAUGGAGGUUGUCAUGAAAAAUGGCAAGAAACAUGUAAUUUUUAGGGGUCUUGCAAUCGUAGUAAAUGAUUCUGAUGUUAAAUUGGAUAUUUCUAUUUGCCACGUGUCUUUGGUUCAUGGCCGUGAUCCAUCUCUAGGAACAAGUAAAUUGAACAUUGUGAUAGAAGAGAUAUUCGAGAAUCAGAGUUAUCACCCAAUUUCUGGUUGGGGUAACAAGUUGCCUGGUUUUCGAAGUACUGGUCCAGGGCGAUGGAGCACUAGGGACUUCUCGUGUUCAUCAAAGGAUUUUUUUGAACCUCACCUUCCAACUGGAUGGCAAUGGACAUCUACAUGGAUUAUUGAUAAAUCUGUACCUGUUGAUGAUGAUGGUUGGACAUAUGGUCCUGACUUCCAUACAUUGAAGUGGCCUCCAGCUUCAAAGUCAUAUAAAUCUGCUCAUAAUGUUGUGCGCCGAAGGCGAUGGAUUCGCAGGAGGCAACAAUUAACUGGGGAAGGAUCAAAUAGCGUGAACAGUGAUUUUAUUUCCAUAAAUCCUGGAUCAUCAUCUGUUUUACCAUGGAGGAGCAUAUCCAAAAAUUCUGAUCUGUGUUUACUAGUACGUCCUUGUGCUGAUCAUUCUCAGCCUGAAUAUGUAUGGGGCCAAGCAGUUGCUUUCGUUUCUGACUACAUGUUUGAGAAGGAUCAACCUUUCAGUGAUCAAGGCUUGCUUGCAAGACAAAAUACUUUAAAGCAGCAAAGAAAAAUGCCAAAUGCUUUUAUGCUGAAUCAGCUGGAGAAGAAGGAUGUUCUUUUCCAUUGUCGCCCAAGUAGUGGAAGUGCAGCAUUUUGGCUCAGUGUGGGUGCUGAUGCUUCAAUCCUCCACACUGAAUUAAAUUCUCCUGUUUAUGAUUGGAGAAUAUCUAUUAACUCCCCAUUGAAGCUGGAAAACCAACUUCCUUGUGCAGCAGAAUUUACAGUUUGGGAAAAGGGAAAAGAAGGGAAUUGCAUUGAGCGGCAACAUGGUAUAAUCUCUUCACGCCAGAGCAUACAUGUAUAUUCAGCUGAUAUCCGUAAAUCUGUCUAUCUUACAUUGCUUCUUCAGGGUGGUUGGGUUCUUGAAAAGGAUCCUGCCCUCGUGCUGGAUCUUGGUUCUAGUGGUCAAAUCUCAUCAUUCUGGAUGGUCCACCAACAAAGUAAAAGGAGACUGCGUGUGAGCAUUGAACGAGACAUGGGAGGAACCACUUCGGCUCCUAAAACAAUUAGGUUAUUUGUACCAUAUUGGAUCGUAAAUGAUUCAUCUCUACCAUUAUCAUAUCGAGUGGUAGAGAUUGAGCCAUUAGAGACAGUUAAGUCUGUGAAAGCUUCCUUUAAAAAUCCCACAAACUCCAUGGAAAGGAGAUUUGGCACAAAGAGAAAUGUUCAAGUACUUGAAGUGAUUGAGGAUACCAGCCCGAUACCGAGCAUGCUUUCUCCUCAAGACACUGCUGGUCGGAGUGGGAUUAUGUUGUUUCCAUCUCAAAAAGAUGCAUACCUGUCUCCACGUUUGGGCCUUGCAGUAGCUAUUCAUCAUUCUGAGAUCUAUAGUCCUGGGAUUUCUUUUCUUGAGCUGGAAAAGAAGGAAAGGGUUGGCAUAAAGGCAUUUGGUUCUGAUGGAUCUUACUACAAGCUUUCAGCAUUACUGAAGACCUCAGACAGAACAAAGGUUCUUCAUAUUCAGCCACACACCUUGUUCAUCAAUAGGCUGGGUUUCAGUCUCUGCCUGCAGCAAUGCGGUUCCCAGCUGGUGGAAUGGAUUCACCCCGCUGAUGCUCCAAAACCCUUUGGAUGGCACUCUUCUGCCGAUGUCGAGCUGUUGAAGUUGCGAGUGGAUGGAUACAAAUGGAGCACUCCAUUUAGUAUUUGUAAUGAAGGAAUGAUGCGAAUAUCCUUGGAGAAAGAUUCGGGAGAUGAUCAAAUGCAGCUGAGGGUACAAGUAAGAAGUGGCACAAAGAGAACACAAUAUGAAGUUAUUUUCCGCCCAAAUUCUUUGUCCAGUCCUUACAGGAUUGAAAAUCAUUCGUUCUUUUUACCCAUUCGCUUUCGGCAAGUGGAUGGUCCCAGUGAAUCAUGGAAGCUUCUUCUUCCAAAUGCAGCUGCUUCUUUCUUAUGGGAAGACUUUGGUAGACCAAGAUUAUUGGAACUUUUAGUUGAUGGAACAGAUUCAUCAAAAUCAUUGAAAUACAAUAUCGAUGAGAUUCUUGAUCACCAGCCCAAUCAUGCAGAGGGUCAGCCUGUUAGACCAUUACGGGUUACUGUUCUAAAAGAAGACAAAAUGAAUAUUGUUAGGAUCAGUGACUGGAUGCCAGAAAAUGAACUUCCAAUUACUGGUAAAAGAGUCCAACCGCCAUUAUCACAACUUUGUGGAAAUGACUCUCUACAACAGCAGUUGCCAUUGUCCACAGGUUGUGAAUUUCAUGUUGUUCUUGAGCUUGCUGAGCUUGGAAUAUCUGUUAUUGACCACACACCUGAGGAGAUUUUAUAUCUUUCUGUCCAGAAUCUUCUUUUAGCAUAUUCUACUGGUUUGGGGUCUGGGUUUAGUAGGUUGAAUCUAAGAGUGCAUGGAAUACAAGUGGAUAACCAGUUACCAUUAACUCCAAUGCCAGUUCUCUUCAGACCACAGAAAGUUGGGGAGGAUAGAGACUAUGUAUUGAAGUUUUCCAUGACAAUGCAAUCAAAUGGAUCUUUAGAUUUAUGUCUCUAUCCCUAUAUUGGUUUCACUGGACCUGAAAGUUCUGCUUUCAUAAUAAACAUCCAUGAACCUAUCAUUUGGCGCCUUCAUGAGAUGAUCCAGCAGGUCAACCUCAGUAGGUUAUAUGAUACAAAAACAACUGCCGUGUCGGUUGAUCCAAUUAUUCAUAUUGGUGUUCUCAACAUCUCAGAAGUUCGAUUCAAAGUUUCAAUGGCCAUGUCACCUAGUCAAAGGCCAAGAGGAGUACUCGGGUUCUGGUCAUCCUUGAUGACUGCUUUGGGCAACACUGAAAAUAUGCCUGUGAGAUUAAAUCAAAGAUUUAAUGAGAAUAUGUGCAUGAGACAGAGUACUAUGAUAGGUAUUGCUGUCUCAAACAUAAAAAAGGAUCUACUUCGCCAACCUCUUCAACUGCUCUCUGGUGUUGAUAUAUUGGGCAAUGCAAGCAGUGCACUUGGACAUAUGAGUAAAGGUGUAGCUGCCUUAUCGAUGGAUAAAAAAUUCAUCCAAAGUCGACAGAGACAGGAGAACAAAGGUGUAGAGGCUCUUGGUGAUGUCAUUAGGGAGGGAGGCGGAGCACUAGCAAAAGGCCUCUUUAGAGGAGUUACCGGUAUUCUAACAAAGCCUCUUGAAGGUGCAAAAAAUUCAGGUGUUGAGGGUUUUGUUCAGGGAGUUGGAAAAGGAAUAAUAGGUGCAGCUGCUCAGCCAGUCAGUGGGGUUUUGGAUCUUUUGUCCAAAACCACGGAAGGGGCCAAUGCUAUGAGAAUGAAGAUAACAUCAGCUAUAACCUCAGAGGAACAACUGCUCCGCCAGAGGUUGCCUCGUGUUAUUAGUGCUGAUAAUUUGCUUCGACCUUAUAAUGAGUACAAAUCCCAAGGGCAGGUUAUAUUGCAGCUGGCAGAGUCGGGUUCAUUUUUUGGCCAGGUUGAUCUAUUUAAAGUGCGUGGGAAGUUUGCCUUAUCAGAUGCUUAUGAAGAUCACUUUAUGCUCCCUAAAGGAAAGAUCAUUGUGGUAACACAUCGAAGAGUCAUGUUGCUGCAACAACCAUCCAACAUUUUAGCUCAGAGGAAGUUCAGCCCGGCAAGGGAUCCAUGUUCAGUAUCGUGGGGUGUUUUAUGGGUUGACUUGGUGACCAUGGAAUUGACUCAUGGGAAGAAGGACCAACCAAAAGCUCCACCUUCACACCUCACUCUUUAUUUACGGAGUAGAUCAACAGAGUCAAAAGAACAAUUUCGUGUGAUAAAAUGCAGCCGUGAGACAGAUCAGGCCCUGAAGGUCUACUCUUCAAUAGAGAGAGCAGUUAACACUUACGGACGCAACCUAUCAAAUGAAAUGCUCAAAAAUCAAGUGACAAAACCGUAUGCACCGAGUGCAGAUGUCUCCAGACUUGAAGGAAUUUCAAAGGAAGGGGAUUGUAUCUGGUCUCCCCAACAGAUGCCUGAGUCAGUUACUCAGAGUUCAACAUUUGGCAACAGCUCCAAUUGAUUUUGGGAAAACUGCUCAAUGGAGAAUGUGGUUAAUAUUUUGCUGAAGUCGGGUCAUACAACUUCUAUGCUUUUGAAUGUUAAAGAUUUUAGGCCACAUGCCUGUGCUGUUCAGAAGAUGCAUAUUCAGGUAUGGACUAGGGAAGAUGUUCUUAAUGGAGGUUUUAGCAUCCGCUAUUUAAAGAAGCACCUGCAGAGACUAUUGGAACAGGGUUGCUUGUCAGAAGUGCAAUUUUACUUUGAUACAAGGGGAAUCACUAUGGAGAGCACAUCUUCAUGUUUGGUGAUUGAAGCUGUACAGAAUACCUUCCACAACUUGAUGUGGUUGCUCCUAGAAUGUACAUGUUUUUUUUUUCCUAUCAUACAUAUUUCUUCUGUGUUCUUUGUACAUAGAAUUUUUUGCAGAAGGGACAGUCAUCUGGGCUGGCCACCGGAAAAUUGGUCUCGCUUGGAGACCCAAAGUUUCUGUGUAAAUAGAAAGCGAUACACCUCCUGUCAUCUCCGGUGCUUUCUUCUUCUUUUUUUUUUGGACUGGGGAAGUUGCAUUCGUGUUAAAUCGAAUACCUCUGAUGAAUAUUCGAGUGCAAAAUAAGAAUACAAAGGUCAUUCACCAAACCACACCAUGCUCUCCGCAUAAAGAACCAGGCAAUGCAAUUUGCUCUUUGAUCUGCUUGUCCCGAAUUUCCUGGAAACAAAUUUGUAAUUGUCAAAGACACGGGAGAAAAGAAAAGGAUUAGACUUUCAAUUAGCGAACAAUUUUCUUUAGUUUGGUUUUGUAUGAUAAUUUAUCAAAAGAAAUUCAGUUUAUGGUUUGCAAACAAAA
Populus trichocarpa (black cottonwood) is the source of this 13870-nucleotide RNA transcript. RefSeq lists it as uncharacterized. The transcript is spliced from 65 exons. The record is from RefSeq and is a predicted model, not a curated record. NCBI's taxonomy places the organism in Eukaryota, Viridiplantae, Streptophyta, Magnoliopsida, Malpighiales, Salicaceae.